RNAcentral lists this ribosomal RNA (1276 nucleotides) under Escherichia coli. RNAcentral's name for it is "partial 23S ribosomal RNA". It matches the Rfam family "Bacterial large subunit ribosomal RNA", at positions 604 to 1866 of the family's 2925-position model. Lineage: Bacteria; Pseudomonadati; Pseudomonadota; Gammaproteobacteria; Enterobacterales; Enterobacteriaceae. The record is from RNAcentral.
CCUUUUGUAUAAUGGGUCAGCGACUUAUAUUCUGUAGCAAGGUUAACCGAAUAGGGGAGCCGAAGGGAAACCGAGUCUUAACUGGGCGUUAAGUUGCAGGGUAUAGACCCGAAACCCGGUGAUCUAGCCAUGGGCAGGUUGAAGGUUGGGUAACACUAACUGGAGGACCGAACCGACUAAUGUUGAAAAAUUAGCGGAUGACUUGUGGCUGGGGGUGAAAGGCCAAUCAAACCGGGAGAUAGCUGGUUCUCCCCGAAAGCUAUUUAGGUAGCGCCUCGUGAAUUCAUCUCCGGGGGUAGAGCACUGUUUCGGCAAGGGGGUCAUCCCGACUUACCAACCCGAUGCAAACUGCGAAUACCGGAGAAUGUUAUCACGGGAGACACACGGCGGGUGCUAACGUCCGUCGUGAAGAGGGAAACAACCCAGACCGCCAGCUAAGGUCCCAAAGUCAUGGUUAAGUGGGAAACGAUGUGGGAAGGCCCAGACAGCCAGGAUGUUGGCUUAGAAGCAGCCAUCAUUUAAAGAAAGCGUAAUAGCUCACUGGUCGAGUCGGCCUGCGCGGAAGAUGUAACGGGGCUAAACCAUGCACCGAAGCUGCGGCAGCGACACUAUGUGUUGUUGGGUAGGGGAGCGUUCUGUAAGCCUGUGAAGGUGUACUGUGAGGUAUGCUGGAGGUAUCAGAAGUGCGAAUGCUGACAUAAGUAACGAUAAAGCGGGUGAAAAGCCCGCUCGCCGGAAGACCAAGGGUUCCUGUCCAACGUUAAUCGGGGCAGGGUGAGUCGACCCCUAAGGCGAGGCCGAAAGGCGUAGUCGAUGGGAAACAGGUUAAUAUUCCUGUACUUGGUGUUACUGCGAAGGGGGGACGGAGAAGGCUAUGUUGGCCGGGCGACGGUUGUCCCGGUUUAAGCGUGUAGGCUGGUUUUCCAGGCAAAUCCGGAAAAUCAAGGCUGAGGCGUGAUGACGAGGCACUACGGUGCUGAAGCAACAAAUGCCCUGCUUCCAGGAAAAGCCUCUAAGCAUCAGGUAACAUCAAAUCGUACCCCAAACCGACACAGGUGGUCAGGUAGAGAAUACCAAGGCGCUUGAGAGAACUCGGGUGAAGGAACUAGGCAAAAUGGUGCCGUAACUUCGGGAGAAGGCACGCUGAUAUGUAGGUGAAGUCCCUCGCGGAUGGAGCUGAAAUCAGUCGAAGAUACCAGCUGGCUGCAACUGUUUAUUAAAAACACAGCACUGUGCAAACACGAAAGUGGACGUAUACGGUGUGACGCCUGCCCGG